UACGACUACAUAUCAGGCAUAUCAAUAAGCGGAGGAAAAGAAACUAACAAGGAUUCCCUUAGUAACGGCGAGUGAAGCGGGAAGAGCUCAAAUUUGAAAUCUUCAAGGUUCUACCUUGACGAAUUGUAGUUUAAAGAAGUGUUUUCUGUUAGAUGAGUAGCAAAAGUUCCUUGGAAUGGGACAUCAUAGAGGGUGAGAAUCCCGUAUUUGGUUAUUCAUUCUAGCUUUGUGAUACACUUUCAAAGAGUCGGAUUGUUUGGGAAUGCAGUCCAAAAUGGGUGGUAAAUUUCAUCUAAAGCUAAAUAUUGGCGAGAGACCGAUAGCGAACAAGUACCGUGAGGGAAAGAUGAAAAGAACUUUGAAAAGAGAGUUAAACAGUACGUGAAAUUGUCAAAAGGGAAGCGUUUGACACCAGUGUUGUUUUUCCGAAAAUCAAUUACGAAUGGCUUGAUUUUGUGUUGUAUUGACCUUAUCAGCUUUCUUCACUUUUUUCGAGUCUUUCUUAAUGCACUUUUCGGUUAACAAGUCAACAUCAAUUUCUUUUGUUGUAAAAGAGUAUUCGGAAGGUGGCUUUGCUUUUCGGAGAAAGUGUUUAUAGCCCUAUACUUCUACAAUCGGAGAGAUUGAGGUCUGCAGCGUAGAUCCUUCGGGGUUAGAUACACUUGUGCUAAGUUGUAGCUUUUCAUAGACAACUUGUUGACUAUGUUUAGUCAUGCGGCUUACUCGCUUGUGCUAUUUUACCUACGCUUAGGAUGUUGAGUAGCGACAUACGCAC
Molecule: ribosomal RNA, 775 nt
Filed under: uncultured Neocallimastigales
Lineage: Eukaryota; Fungi; Neocallimastigomycota; Neocallimastigomycetes; Neocallimastigales
Description: partial large subunit ribosomal RNA
Rfam family: Eukaryotic large subunit ribosomal RNA
Source: RNAcentral